UACAGAGGUCUCAAGCGUUGUUCGGAUUCAUUGGGCGUAAAGGGUGUGUAGGUGGCGCGCUAAGUCUGGUGUGAAAUUUCGGAGCUUAACUCCGAAACUGCAUUCGAUACUGGCGUGCUUGAGGACUGGAGAGGAGACUGGAAUUCAUGGUGUAGCAGUGAAAUGCGUAGAGAUCAUGAGGAAGACCAGUGGCGAAGGCGGGUCUCUGGACAAAUCCUGACGCUGAGGCGCGAAGGCUAGGGGAGCAAACGGG
RNAcentral lists this ribosomal RNA (253 nucleotides) under uncultured bacterium. RNAcentral describes it as "partial 16S ribosomal RNA". It matches the Rfam family "Bacterial small subunit ribosomal RNA", at positions 524 to 776 of the family's 1533-position model. The record is from RNAcentral.